Molecule: non-coding RNA, 114 nt
Filed under: Microlunatus phosphovorus
Lineage: Bacteria; Bacillati; Actinomycetota; Actinomycetes; Propionibacteriales; Propionibacteriaceae
Also listed under: 1 other name
Description: SAM-I sequence
Rfam family: SAM riboswitch aptamer (S box leader)
About the family: The SAM riboswitch is found upstream of a number of genes which code for proteins involved in methionine or cysteine biosynthesis in Gram-positive bacteria. The SAM riboswitch acts at the level of transcription termination control. The predicted structure consists of a complex stem-loop region followed by a single stem loop terminator region.
Source: RNAcentral
AGUUCAUCCAGAGGGGACGAGGGAACGGCCCUACGACUCCCCGGCAACCGGCCGACCGAUCGGACACGGUGCCAACUCCGACCAGGUCGAAAGCCGAUCUGGUGCAGAUGAUGA